RNAcentral lists this long non-coding RNA (2483 nucleotides) under Homo sapiens (human). Its description in RNAcentral is "HSALNT0194267". The record is from RNAcentral. Lineage: Eukaryota; Metazoa; Chordata; Mammalia; Primates; Hominidae.
CAGCAUUCUUGACAGGCAGAGCCCAGGAUGGGGCAGUCCCGAUGUAAACCCACAGUUUCGAGGAACCAGUUGGCCUUGGACCUCUCUGAAGAGCUCUGGAACCAGAAGGGGCUGGCGGUCCUCUAAGUCACCUUAGCCUACCUGGAGAGACCUCCGAGGCGGGAGGGCCUCCUCAGUGAGCACAUUACUCCGAUUUUCCUGGAAGUCACUCUACAGUCGUGAGGGUUCCAGCCUUCUGAUGAAGCCAACGCUGAGUGUGGCAGAGAGGAGGGACGGAAAGGGACAAGCUCCCUCAGGAUCUCAGCGAGCUGCUUGACCACGCUGCUGGACUCUUCCUGGGUAGCUGGCAAACUGCCAAAUUAUUUCAUCUGGCUGGGGUUGGACUUGUGAUUGAGGCAGACAGCAUUGUAACCUAAACCCUCCCCAUAGCUGCGUUCACUUCUUUCAUCACAUGUUAACACCCCUACAAAAUCAAUGUAUUACCUUGCAAAAGUUGUUGAAAAAGAGCCACUUUUGGAGAAGGUGUUCUGUGGAAGCAACCAUUCCUUAUGCUCUUUGUCACUAAGCUCUCCAGGGCACUGUACUGCUGCCAGAUUUGAGAACCACUGCUCAGGUGCAACUCUAUUUCAGAGUGUGCCCAGGAAUCACAGGCAAGGCAGCCCAGCGCAGAUAAAGAGAAGUUGAUUGAAGGGAAUCAACAUCAUGUGUGUUUCUUAUUCCUACAGAUGCAUAAUCAAAUAUAUAAGUAAAAAUUGACAUUUCCUUUGAGAACUACUUGGACAGUGACCUGAACAUCUCAAGAAAAACCUUGGUGGAAUUGCAUGAACCUGAUUUGGGUCAAAAUUAAGCACCACGCUGAAAAUCAUGCCUUUGUGAAAUGACAAAUUGAAAGUGUUCAGAAAUUGCAUUUGAACUAGUUGAGAUCCUGAUACAGAUUCUCUCCAUUGCUUUCUUGGCUUUAACACUUCAGUGAAGCAAUCUGCCUUGUUGAGAGGCCCACAUGGCAAGGAACUGAGGGCAGCCCCUGACCAACAGCCAGCCAGGAACUGAAGAUGUCAGUCCAACUACCCCUGAUGAACUGAAUCUUGAACCACGUGAGCUUGGAGUGCAUCCUUCCCAGUUGUGCCAUGAGAUGAGAGCACGGCACCAGUCAACAGUGUGACUGUUCUUUGAGAAAGACACCAAAGCAGAGGGGACAGCUAAGCCAUAUCCAGAUUUUUCACCCACAAAACUGAGAUAAUACAUGUGUGCUUUUUAAACUGUUAAAUUUUGGGACAAUUUGUUAUGCCACAAUAUAUAAUUAAUACACAAGGUUUUUGGCAACUGGAAGAAUAAAAAUAGUAUUUAUGAUAUCACAAGAUGAGUGUAGGUAGAGGGUUUCUUUACAGGGAGAUUUCAGGGUUUCUUUUUUUUUUUGGUGAUGGAGUCUCGCCCUGUUGCCCAGGCUGGAGUGAAUUGGCUCAAUCUCGGCUCACUGCAACCUCCACUUCCUGGGUUCAGGUGAUUCUCCCACCUUAGCCUCCUGAGUAGCUGAGAUUACAGGCACCUGCCAUCAUGCCUGGCUAAUUUUUAUAGAGACGGGGUUUCACCAUGUUGGCCAGGCUGGUCUCGAACUCCUGACCUCAGAUGAUCCACCCAGGCUGGAGUGAACUGGCGCAAUCUCGGCUCACUGCAACCUCCACUUCCUGGGUUCAGGUGAUUCUCCCACCUUAGCCUCCUGAGUAGCUGAGAUUACAGGCACCUGCCAUCAUGCCUGGCUAAUUUUUAUAGAGACGGGGUUUCACCAUGUUGGCCAGGCUGGUCUCGAACUCCUGACCUCAGAUGAUCCGCCUGCCUCGGCCUCCCAAAGUGUUGGGAUUACAGGCGUGAGCCUCUGCACCCAGCUGAUUGCAAGUUUUGGAUAUGUACAAUGCACAUAAGUAUCUAUUUUUGUGAUAAUACUUCUCACUAAUUUUUCAAAUGGUAGUUAGCUACCAAUAUAUAGAAUCUAAAUACUCUCCAUGAGCCACCUUAAAACAAAGUUAUUUAAGGCAUCUUCAAAAAUCAGAUUCUAGGCCGGGUAUGAUGGCUCACACCUGUAAUCCCAGCACUUUAAGAGGCCGAGGCAGGUGGAUGGCUUGAGCCCAGGAGUUCAAGACCAGCCUGAGCAACAUACAGAAACCCCGUCUCUAUUAAAAACACAAAAAUUAGCUGUGCGUGGUGGUGCUUGCCUGUAGUCCUAGCUACUUGGGAGGCUAAAGUGGGAGGAUCACUUGAGCCCAGGAAGUUGAGGCUGCAGCGAGCCGUGAUCACGCCGCCGCACUCCAGUGUGGGUGAUGGGAGUGAGACCCUGUCUAAAAAAAAAAAAAAAAUCAGAUGUUAUAAUAAUUUUAGUCAUAAUUAUUUCUGGAAAUGGAAAACAUCAAAUACAGUACCAACCCAUGAAUUCUGAUGUCUCACUUUUAGAAUUUCUCUAUUCUUUGCUUUCAAUUUGCACAAAAACC